CCAACGUGGACAUCCGGAGAGGUUGCUCUCUCUCGGCUCUGUCCGUGUGGCGUACGGGAGCGUAGGCCUUCGGGCUCCGUGACGUAUAGUCCCCUUCCACGACGUUGGAGAACAAGCCGGGCCUCUGGUCUGCAGCCUGCCGAGGCCGGCCCGCUGGUCUGCAGCCUGCAUAUUCCUAUGGCUUCUCUGAGUCCUUGGACCGUGACAGAGGAGACAAACCAUGCAGGAAACAAGU
Molecule: small nucleolar RNA, 235 nt
Organism: Alligator sinensis (Chinese alligator)
Lineage: Eukaryota; Metazoa; Chordata; Crocodylia; Alligatoridae
Product: small nucleolar RNA SNORA73 family
Exons: 1
Source: RefSeq, a predicted model, not a curated record